Molecule: non-coding RNA, 1719 nt
Organism: Chrysemys picta bellii (western painted turtle)
Lineage: Eukaryota; Metazoa; Chordata; Testudines; Emydidae
Source: RefSeq, a predicted model, not a curated record
UCUAGAACUAUAAAAAUUCCCUUUAGUAGGUUUUAAUCUGAUUUACUCAACUAUAAAAUAAAUUAAUACUUGGGGAGACUGUCAAUAUUAGUUAGAUUAUCUACUAUUCUUAAUUCUUAUGUAUAUUUUUUUCAGCUGAAUUGAAACCUGACUUACAUCUCCUAGCAGCUCCAUAAUGUUAAUGGGCAUGUAAAGAAAAGAUCUCUUUCAUCCUCACCUGCCAAUAUGUCAAGGACGAUCUGUAGUUAAUAUGAGAUGAGGAUACCUUCAUGGUGAACAACAGUGAUGAGUUAUCUGUAAUCAAGGGGAAUGCUGAUAUAGCUGUUGACUUCUUUUCAUAUCAAAGGAGAUUGAGCAUGUAUACGUAUUCAUCACCAGGAAGAGAUCAGGUGCAUUUAUGAAGUCUGGUGUAGCAUUAAAUUCGUUCUCUAGCCAACUUCUCUCAUGGUGGAUAAUUCUGAUGUACAACUUGCUCUCACAAUGCACUUGCUUCAUAACUGAGACAGGUUUUGGUGUAAUGACAGCUAAGUUGAAAUCUGUAUGUAACAAGACAUUUAACACUAUCAGAGUCUAUUGAAGUGUCUAAAAGCUGCAUCACACUUGUUGCACUCAGUCCUCUCUCCAGCAGUUCACCAUGAGCAUCCAUCUGAUCUACAUGGCUGAUUUAUCUCUCCGGAACUGAACAUUGCCAAUAGGACAAAUGAAAAUAAAAACAUGGACCUUGCCAGUGAAGAAUAAGAUGAUGUCUCCACAGUUUGUGAAGGUGAGGCGGUCAGCCUUGUCUCCAUAAAGAUGAAUGAGAAUUCCUGUGCACAAGCUUGACAUAACUCUCCUAUUGUUAAUAUCACAGUGAAUGAUAUCAUCAUGAUUUCUCCAAAGUUGCUAAGGAGUUAGGAUGUAGUUGACAUAUGCCAUUGGGUAUUCUGUUCACAGAUGCUGGAGGAAUAACUUCCAAGGAAGUCCAGUCUUAACUGCAAAUUGUCAGUUGAAGCUUGAUUGGUUUGGUGUAGGAAGAACAUCUAUGUGAAUGAGAUACAUGUGCUGAAAGAGGUAGAUCUGAACAGAAAUCUGAACAAACAGAAAGAUGUCUUGUUGGAACCAUGUUGUGUCUGUUGGUCCUGAAAUUACUAUUACUGCUGGGAGGGGAUACAGCACCCCUUACUGAAAAGCCUCCUUGGAAGAAAUUGUUGGCACCUCCUAUAGGGGAAGAUGAGGAAGUGAAGGUAGGUGUGGUGGGCUAAUAAUAAGUCAGAGUAACCGGAAUGUGCCGAUAUAAAGUGUGAGACCCCUUGUUCAAAAUACCUGUAUCUUACAGAAGAAUUGGCAUAUUGAUCAGAUCAAUGCUCUGUAUAGAUAGGUAUCUGUCUCUGACAGUUGCCAGCGGUUAGUGUUUCAAAAGAAGAUGCAAGAAACCCUAUAAUGAAACAACCUGCCCAUAGGGGAAGUUGUCUAUGCUCCUUAGUUUCAGAGAGGCAUAUAUCUGAUAAUAUAUUUUCUCCACAGGAAAUCUAUGUCCUUUUAAGCCAUGUUCUGGGCGUUUACAAACAGUUGACAUAGUUUGGCACCGAGUGAGUGACAUCAGUCACAUAUACAAUGUGGGUAAUGUUUUCAAGUCCCUAAAUCAUGGUACUUUUUCAGAUUCCUCCCUUAAGUUGCCAUGAAGACUACCUCUUCUUUAAAGAUACAUCAAGUGUUAAUAAAAAGUUGAUAUGAACAGCU